GAUGAAGAACGCAGCGAAAUGCGAUAAGUAAUGCGAAUUGCAGAAUCCGUGAGUCAUCGAAUCUUUGAACGCACACUGCGCCCUCUGGUAUUCCGGAGGGCAUGCCUGUUCGAGCGUCAUUAUCACCCCUCAAGCCCGGCUUGUUGUUGGAUGCAGCGCUUAUCCCGCUCCUCCCAAAGAUAAUGACGGCGUCUGCGACGACUCCUGUACACUGAGCUUUCGGGCACGUACACGGCUAGAAGUCCAGACCCGGUCGCCGUCCCCCCCGCGGGGACACCCAUUACCACAAGGUUGACCUCGGAUCAGGUAGGAAUACCCGCUGAACUUAAGCAUAUCAAUAAGCGGAGGA
This 349-nucleotide unclassified non-coding RNA is filed under the name soil metagenome. RNAcentral's name for it is "partial contains 5.8S ribosomal RNA, internal transcribed spacer 2, and large subunit ribosomal RNA". The stretch from base 1 to 119 matches the Rfam family "5.8S ribosomal RNA", at positions 35 to 154 of the family's 154-position model. The record is from RNAcentral.